GCUGGCGGCAGGCCUAACACAUGCAAGUCGAGCGGUAACAGAUCUAGCUUGCUAGAUGCUGACGAGCGGCGGACGGGUGAGUAAUGCAUAGGAAUCUGCCCGAUAGUGGGGGAUAACCUGGGGAAACCCAGGCUAAUACCGCAUACGUCCUACGGGAGAAAGGGGGCUCCGGCUCCCGCUAUUGGAUGAGCCUAUGUCGGAUUAGCUAGUUGGUGAGGUAAAGGCUCACCAAGGCGACGAUCCGUAGCUGGUCUGAGAGGAUGAUCAGCCACAUCGGGACUGAGACACGGCCCGAACUCCUACGGGAGGCAGCAGUGGGGAAUAUUGGACAAUGGGGGCAACCCUGAUCCAGCCAUGCCGCGUGUGUGAAGAAGGCCUUCGGGUUGUAAAGCACUUUCAGCGAGGAAGAACGCCUGUCGGUUAAUACCCGGCAGGAAAGACAUCACUCGCAGAAGAAGCACCGGCUAACUCCGUGCCAGCAGCCGCGGUAAUACGGAGGGUGCAAGCGUUAAUCGGAAUUACUGGGCGUAAAGCGCGCGUAGGUGGCUUGAUAAGCCGGUUGUGAAAGCCCCGGGCUCAACCUGGGAACGGCAUCCGGAACUGUCAGGCUAGAGUGCAGGAGAGGAAGGUAGAAUUCCCGGUGUAGCGGUGAAAUGCGUAGAGAUCGGGAGGAAUACCAGUGGCGAAGGCGGCCUUCUGGACUGACACUGACACUGAGGUGCGAAAGCGUGGGUAGCAAACAGGAUUAGAUACCCUGGUAGUCCACGCCGUAAACGAUGUCGACCAGCCGUUGGGUGCCUAGAGCACUUUGUGGCGAAGUUAACGCGA
RNAcentral lists this ribosomal RNA (828 nucleotides) under uncultured Gammaproteobacteria bacterium. RNAcentral describes it as "bacterial SSU rRNA". It matches the Rfam family "Bacterial small subunit ribosomal RNA", at positions 35 to 860 of the family's 1533-position model. The record is from RNAcentral. Lineage: Bacteria; Pseudomonadati; Pseudomonadota; Gammaproteobacteria.